CCUACGGGAGGCUGCAGUGGGGAAUAUUGGACAAUGGGCGAAAGCCUGAUCCAGCCAUGCCGCGUGUGUGAAGAAGGCCUUCGGGUUGUAAAGCACUUUCAGUGGGGAAGAAAGCCUUGGGGCUAAUACCCUCGAGGAAGGACAUCACCCACAGAAGAAGCACCGGCUAACUCCGUGCCAGCAGCCGCGGUAAUACGGAGGGUGCGAGCGUUAAUCGGAAUUACUGGGCGUAAAGCGCGCGUAGGCGGUCUGAUAAGCCGGUUGUGAAAGCCCCGGGCUCAACCUGGGAACGGCAUCCGGAACGGUCAGGCUAGAGUGCAGGAGAGGAAGGUAGAAUUCCCGGUGUAGCGGUGAAAUGCGUAGAGAUCGGGAGGAAUACCAGUGGCGAAGGCGGCCUUCUGGACUGACACUGACGCUGAGGUGCGAAAGCGUGGGUAGCAAACAGGAUUAGAUACCCCAGUAGUC
RNAcentral lists this ribosomal RNA (465 nucleotides) under Vreelandella stevensii. RNAcentral's name for it is "partial 16S ribosomal RNA". It matches the Rfam family "Bacterial small subunit ribosomal RNA", at positions 338 to 795 of the family's 1533-position model. The record is from RNAcentral. Lineage: Bacteria; Pseudomonadati; Pseudomonadota; Gammaproteobacteria; Oceanospirillales; Halomonadaceae.